This 65-nucleotide transfer RNA is filed under the name Neotrogla sp. 5 KY-2017. RNAcentral's name for it is "tRNA-Pro". The record is from RNAcentral. Lineage: Eukaryota; Metazoa; Arthropoda; Insecta; Psocodea; Prionoglarididae.
CAGAGGAUAGUUUAAUGAAAAUUUUAAUUUUGGGUAUUAAUGAUAAAAAUUGUUUUUUCUUCUGA